GUAUUUUGACUAUACAAAGGUAUUGAAAUAAGAUUUUAAUUGAAUGCUAAGAGAAUGGAUUAACAAAAAAAUUCUUUUUUAAUUUUAAAAAUAAAAAUUAAUUUUUUUUGUGAAGAAGCAAAAAUAAAAAUUAAGGACAAGAAGACCCUAAGAAUUUUUAGUCUAAAAUUUUAGAUCUAAAAUUUUAGACUUUAAUUGGGGCGAUUAAUAAAAAUUUUGAACUUUAUUUUUAAAAAUAAAAUGAACCGUUAUUAGCGGUAA
RNAcentral lists this ribosomal RNA (261 nucleotides) under Amblyomma testudinarium. Its description in RNAcentral is "partial large subunit ribosomal RNA". Lineage: Eukaryota; Metazoa; Arthropoda; Arachnida; Ixodida; Ixodidae. The record is from RNAcentral.